CGGGUAGUAGCGCAGCUGGUAGCGCACUAGGUUCGGGACUUAGAUGUCGCGGGUUCAAAUCCCGCCUACCCGA
Molecule: transfer RNA, 73 nt
Filed under: Treponema sp.
Lineage: Bacteria; Pseudomonadati; Spirochaetota; Spirochaetia; Treponematales; Treponemataceae
Also listed under: 2 other names
Description: tRNA-Pro
Rfam family: tRNA
About the family: Transfer RNA (tRNA) molecules are approximately 80 nucleotides in length. Their secondary structure includes four short double-helical elements and three loops (D, anti-codon, and T loops).
Source: RNAcentral